UGAGGAAUAUUGGUCAAUGGGCGCAAGCCUGAACCAGCCAUCCCGCGUGCAGGAAGACGGCGCUAUGCGUUGUAAACUGCUUUUCCAGGGGGAGAAACUUGCGCACGUGUUGCGCAAUUGACGGUACCCUGGGAAUAAGCAUCGGCUAGCUCCGUGCCAGCAGCCGCGGUAAUACGGAGGAUGCGAGCGUUAUCCGGAUUCAUUGGGUUUAAAGGGUGCGUAGGCGGACUAUUAAGUCAGUGGUGAAAUCCUGCAGCUUAACUGCAGAACUGCCAUUGAUACUGAUAGCCUUGAGUUUGGUUAAGGUAGGCGGAAUGUGUAAUGUAGCGGUGUAAUGCUUAGAUAUUACACAGAACACCAAUUGCGUAGGCAGCUUACUGAGCCGACACUGACGCUGAGGCACGAAAGCGUGGGGAUCGAACAG
Molecule: ribosomal RNA, 424 nt
Filed under: uncultured bacterium
Lineage: Bacteria
Description: bacterial SSU rRNA
Rfam family: Bacterial small subunit ribosomal RNA
Source: RNAcentral